UGGGGAAUAUUGGACAAUGGGCGAAAGCCUGAUCCAGCCAUGCCGCGUGUGUGAAGAAGGUCUUCGGAUUGUAAAGCACUUUAAGUUGGGAGGAAGGGCAGUAAGCGAAUACCUUGCUGUUUUGACGUUACCGACAGAAUAAGCACCGGCUAACUCUGUGCCAGCAGCCGCGGUAAUACAGAGGGUGCAAGCGUUAAUCGGAAUUACUGGGCGUAAAGCGCGCGUAGGUGGUUCGUUAAGUUGAAUGUGAAAGCCCCGGGCUCAACCUGGGAACUGCAUCCGAGACUGGCGAGCUAGAGUAGGGCAGAGGGUGGUGGAAUUUCCUGUGUAGCGGUGAAAUGCGUAGAUAUAGGAAGGAACACCAGUGGCGAAGGCGACCACCUGGGCUCAUACUGACACUAAGGUGCGAAAGCGUGGGGAGCAAACAGG
RNAcentral lists this ribosomal RNA (429 nucleotides) under Pseudomonadota bacterium. Its description in RNAcentral is "Proteobacteria bacterium partial 16S ribosomal RNA". It matches the Rfam family "Bacterial small subunit ribosomal RNA", at positions 355 to 776 of the family's 1533-position model. Lineage: Bacteria; Pseudomonadati; Pseudomonadota. The record is from RNAcentral.